CUUCGGUUUCUCUUCUCUUAAUAGCUUCCAUGUCUCCUGAGUGGAGAAUUUUCUUUUAAACCCUGAGUUUCUCUUCCAAAGAUGUGUGUCCUCAUCCUAUGACCUCUAUUUUUGUCUACAUGAAUCAAUUUGUCCCUCCACUUCUCGUAGGAUACCAGAACGAUAGCGGGUUCAUCUUCGAUUACUUCAUCAACAGUGGCAUUUCUUCUUAUUCCCAAAUCAAUGAUCCCACGAUCCCCUA
RNAcentral lists this long non-coding RNA (241 nucleotides) under Brassica napus (rape). RNAcentral describes it as "long non-coding RNA (BNAP_LNC009445)". Lineage: Eukaryota; Viridiplantae; Streptophyta; Magnoliopsida; Brassicales; Brassicaceae. The record is from RNAcentral.